Molecule: non-coding RNA, 73 nt
Organism: Umbelopsis ramanniana AG
Lineage: Eukaryota; Fungi; Mucoromycota; Umbelopsidomycetes; Umbelopsidales; Umbelopsidaceae
Source: the annotation of a RefSeq genome assembly
GGGGUUGUGACGCAGUGGUUAGCGUGUCCGCUUUGCAUGCGGGAAGCCGCGCGUUCGAAUCGCGCCUACUCCA